AGCAGCCGCGGUAAUUCCAGCUCCAAUAGCGUAUAUUAAAGUUGUUGCAGUUAAAAAGCUCGUAGUUGAAUUUCGGGAUUGGCGCAUCGGUCGUGCCUCACGGGGUAUGAACUGGUGCAGUCAAUUUCUCACCUUCUGGAGAACCGCGAUGUCCUUAAUUGGAUGCCGCGGGGAACCAGGACCUUUACUUUGAAAAAAUUAGAGUGUUUAAAGCAGGCAUUUUUGCUUGAAUACAUUAGCAUGGAAUAAUAAAAUAGGACGGCAUGGUUCUAUUUUGUUGGUUUCUAGGACCACCGUAAUGAUUAAUAGGGAUAGUUGGGGGCAUUAGUAUUCAAUUGUCAGAGGUGAAAUUCUUGGAUUUAUUGAAGACUAACUACUGCGAAAGCAUUUGCCAAGGAUGUUUUCAUUAAUCAAGAACGAAAGUUAGGGGAUCGAAGACGAUCAGAUACCGUCGUAGUCUUAACCAUAAACUAUGCCGACUAGGAAUCAGACGAUGUUAAUUUUUUAAUGACUCGUUUGGCACC
RNAcentral lists this ribosomal RNA (524 nucleotides) under uncultured Entrophospora. RNAcentral describes it as "SSU rRNA". It matches the Rfam family "Eukaryotic small subunit ribosomal RNA", at positions 569 to 1087 of the family's 1831-position model. Lineage: Eukaryota; Fungi; Glomeromycota; Glomeromycetes; Entrophosporales; Entrophosporaceae. The record is from RNAcentral.